GUGAAGCUGCUGUGCCUGCUGUCCUCACUGCUGAUAGUGAAGAGUCUGGUGUACUGCUGUGGACUCUCUCUGCUGAUGAGCCUCACAAACAAGGGAGCGUCCACCAACUGAACACCUGCUGACUGACUGCUUCCUGCUGGCCUUUCCUCCCAGAAAAGAGCAAGAAAAGCAGCUUUUCAAUGGAAAACAGAGGAAAACCUCAUUCUGUCCUUUCAUGCAAACCACUCUUUAUUUACAAGUUCUUCAAGAAGACUUUCCAAAAUGUGCUUUUUGUCUGUUUCUCUGCUUUUCUUCUCCUUCUUUCAAUUAAAAAGCAUUGAUGAUUU
Non-coding RNA from Austrofundulus limnaeus, 326 nucleotides. Lineage: Eukaryota; Metazoa; Chordata; Actinopteri; Cyprinodontiformes; Rivulidae. The record is from the annotation of a RefSeq genome assembly.